RNAcentral lists this ribosomal RNA (433 nucleotides) under uncultured bacterium. RNAcentral describes it as "partial 16S ribosomal RNA". It matches the Rfam family "Bacterial small subunit ribosomal RNA", at positions 29 to 507 of the family's 1533-position model. The record is from RNAcentral.
AACGAACGCUGGCGGCGUGCCUAACACAUGCAAGUCGAACGAUGCCUUCGGGCAUAGUUGCGCACGGGUGCUGAACGCGGGGGAAUCUGCCUUUCGGUUCGGAGUAACUCAGGGAGACUUGAGCUAAUACCGGAUAACGUCGCAAGACCAAAGAUUUAUCACCGAAAGAUGAGCCCGCGUAGGAUUAGCUAGUUGGGGAGGUAAAGGCUCACCAAGGCGACGUUCCUUAGCUGGUCUGAGAGGAUGAUCAGUCACACUGGGACUGAGACACGGCCCAGACUCGUACGGGAGGCAGCAGUGGGGAAUAGCGGAAAACGGGCGAGAGCCUGAUCCAGCAAUGCCGCGUGAGUGAUGAAGGCCUUAGGGUUGUAAAGCUGUCUUAACCGGGAAGAUAAUGACGGUACCGGGAGAAUAAGCCCCGGCUAACUCCGUG